This 63-nucleotide transfer RNA is filed under the name Sphaeroma terebrans. Its description in RNAcentral is "tRNA-Thr". The record is from RNAcentral. Lineage: Eukaryota; Metazoa; Arthropoda; Malacostraca; Isopoda; Sphaeromatidae.
GUCUUAAUAGUUUAUAAAUAAAAACUUUAUCUUUGUAAGUUAGAAAAGGCUCACCUUAAGACU